GAGCAUGCACAUUUACAAACAAACAAAAAAGCACUCCGGCCCAACACUUCAGAGUUAAGGUAGAUGGUGUCUUUUCCACCCAGAAGGCACCAGAUGUAUCAUCAUCUGCUAGAACUUGCUGCCAUCGUAACCGCGCUGUUGAUGCUAUUUUGUCUUCAACUGUCGGCCGUCGAAAUUGGUGGUAACCCGCAUGCAGGAGACCCUGAUCAAAAGCCUCCAGUUUUUAAUCCUCCAGGCAGGAGGCCCUGAUCAAUUUCUCGCUUCAGAUAUGGAAACCGUAGUAGAUGGGGCAAUUGACACUGGAGUCUAUCUUAGCUACCAGUCUAUUGUACAUUUUUCUUAGAUGUUCACGAGAUGCCUUAAAUGCGUGAAGUGUGAAGUAGGUGACCAGGAAGUCGUGUAUCGAGUCUAGCUUACUGGUAAGAUUUCUUGCUGUGGAAUCUUCAGUGAUGGCUGAUGUGUUGAUUAAUAGCAAGAAGUUUAUGGAGUGGUAACGGAUCA
This is a long non-coding RNA of Panicum virgatum (switchgrass), 501 nucleotides long. RefSeq lists it as uncharacterized. The transcript has 2 exons. The record is from RefSeq and is a predicted model, not a curated record. Lineage: Eukaryota; Viridiplantae; Streptophyta; Magnoliopsida; Poales; Poaceae.